UUAAAUUGAAGAGUUUGAUCAUGGCUCAGAUUGAACGCUGGCGGCAGGCCUAACACAUGCAAGUCGAACGGUAACAGGAAGCAGCUUGCUGCUUUGCUGACGAGUGGCGGACGGGUGAGUAAUGUCUGGGAAACUGCCUGAUGGAGGGGGAUAACUACUGGAAACGGUGGCUAAUACCGCAUAACGUCGCAAGACCAAAGAGGGGGACCUUCGGGCCUCUUGCCAUCAGAUGUGCCCAGAUGGGAUUAGCUUGUUGGUGAGGUAACGGCUCACCAAGGCGACGAUCCCUAGCUGGUCUGAGAGGAUGACCAGCCACACUGGAACUGAGACACGGUCCAGACUCCUACGGGAGGCAGCAGUGGGGAAUAUUGCACAAUGGGCGCAAGCCUGAUGCAGCCAUGCCGCGUGUAUGAAGAAGGCCUUCGGGUUGUAAAGUACUUUCAGCGGGGAGGAAGGUGUUGUGGUUAAUAACCGCAGCAAUUGACGUUACCCGCAGAAGAAGCACCGGCUAACUCCGUGCCAGCAGCCGCGGUAAUACGGAGGGUGCAAGCGUUAAUCGGAAUUACUGGGCGUAAAGCGCACGCAGGCGGUCUGUCAAGUCGGAUGUGAAAUCCCCGGGCUCAACCUGGGAACUGCAUUCGAAACUGGCAGGCUUGAGUCUUGUAGAGGGGGGUAGAAUUCCAGGUGUAGCGGUGAAAUGCGUAGAGAUCUGGAGGAAUACCGGUGGCGAAGGCGGCCCCCUGGACAAAGACUGACGCUCAGGUGCGAAAGCGUGGGGAGCAAACAGGAUUAGAUACCCUGGUAGUCCACGCCGUAAACGAUGUCUACUUGGAGGUUGUGCCCUUGAGGCGUGGCUUCCGGAGCUAACGCGUUAAGUAGACCGCCUGGGGAGUACGGCCGCAAGGUUAAAACUCAAAUGAAUUGACGGGGGCCCGCACAAGCGGUGGAGCAUGUGGUUUAAUUCGAUGCAACGCGAAGAACCUUACCUGGUCUUGACAUCCACAGAACUUUCCAGAGAUGGAUUGGUGCCUUCGGGAACUGUGAGACAGGUGCUGCAUGGCUGUCGUCAGCUCGUGUUGUGAAAUGUUGGGUUAAGUCCCGCAACGAGCGCAACCCUUAUCCUUUGUUGCCAGCGAUUCGGUCGGGAACUCAAAGGAGACUGCCAGUGAUAAACUGGAGGAAGGUGGGGAUGACGUCAAGUCAUCAUGGCCCUUACGACCAGGGCUACACACGUGCUACAAUGGCGCAUACAAAGAGAAGCGACCUCGCGAGAGCAAGCGGACCUCAUAAAGUGCGUCGUAGUCCGGAUUGGAGUCUGCAACUCGACUCCAUGAAGUCGGAAUCGCUAGUAAUCGUGGAUCAGAAUGCCACGGUGAAUACGUUCCCGGGCCUUGUACACACCGCCCGUCACACCAUGGGAGUGGGUUGCAAAAGAAGUAGGUAGCUUAACCUUCGGGAGGGCGCUUACCACUUUGUGAUUCAUGACUGGGGUGAAGUCGUAACAAGGUAACCGUAGGGGAACCUGCGGUUGGAUCACCUCCUUACCUUAAAGAAGC
RNAcentral lists this ribosomal RNA (1556 nucleotides) under Salmonella enterica subsp. enterica serovar Minnesota str. ATCC 49284. Its description in RNAcentral is "bacterial SSU rRNA". It matches the Rfam family "Bacterial small subunit ribosomal RNA". The record is from RNAcentral. Lineage: Bacteria; Pseudomonadati; Pseudomonadota; Gammaproteobacteria; Enterobacterales; Enterobacteriaceae.